Molecule: ribosomal RNA, 472 nt
Filed under: Salmonella enterica
Lineage: Bacteria; Pseudomonadati; Pseudomonadota; Gammaproteobacteria; Enterobacterales; Enterobacteriaceae
Description: bacterial SSU rRNA
Rfam family: Bacterial small subunit ribosomal RNA
Source: RNAcentral
AAAUUGAAGAGUUUGAUCAUGGCUCAGAUUGAACGCUGGCGGCAGGCCUAACACAUGCAAGUCGAACGGUAACAGGAAGCAGCUUGCUGCUUCGCUGACGAGUGGCGGACGGGUGAGUAAUGUCUGGGAAACUGCCUGAUGGAGGGGGAUAACUACUGGAAACGGUGGCUAAUACCGCAUAACGUCGCAAGACCAAAGAGGGGGACCUUCGGGCCUCUUGCCAUCAGAUGUGCCCAGAUGGGAUUAGCUUGUUGGUGAGGUAACGGCUCACCAAGGCGACGAUCCCUAGCUGGUCUGAGAGGAUGACCAGCCACACUGGAACUGAGACACGGUCCAGACUCCUACGGGAGGCAGCAGUGGGGAAUAUUGCACAAUGGGCGCAAGCCUGAUGCAGCCAUGCCGCGUGUAUGAAGAAGGCCUUCGGGUUGUAAAGUACUUUCAGCGGGGAGGAAGGUGUUGCGGUUAAUAACCG